This 254-nucleotide ribosomal RNA is filed under the name uncultured bacterium. Its description in RNAcentral is "partial 16S ribosomal RNA". It matches the Rfam family "Bacterial small subunit ribosomal RNA", at positions 524 to 776 of the family's 1533-position model. The record is from RNAcentral.
UACGGGGGGAGCAAGCGUUGUUCGGAUUUACUGGGCGUAAAGGGCGCGUAGGCGGUCAGCACAAGUCAGUUGUGAAAUCUCCGGGCUUAACUCGGAAAGGUCAACUGAUACUGUGCGACUAGAGUGCAGAAGGGGCAACUGGAAUUCUCGGUGUAGCGGUGAAAUGCGCAGAUAUCGGGAAGAACACCCGUGGCUAAGGCGGCUCUCUAGUACGGUACUGACGCUGAGACGCGAAAGCGUGGGGAGCGAACAGG